AUUGUUAGCCCAGAAAUGGAAGCAAGAAGAAAUUCCGACGAAAGAAGAAUGGCAGACGAAAUUAAUGGACUAUGCAGAAUUGGACAAAAUGACAGGAAGGAUUCAAAACCUGCAAGACCAGAGAUUUACAGAAGAUUGGAAGAAGUAUAUGAACUAUCUGAAGAGCAAUUGUAACCAACAAAUUCCGCUAGUAGGACUACAAGAAGUUUUAUUAGGAGAAAUAUAUGAAGUGUUACAAAGUAGAUAAAGAUAGAGAUAUUGGUUAUGAUUUUAAAUGUAAAAGGGAAAGUAAGAAAUGCAUACUAAGAGAUUAGAUUGAAGAAUUUUCAGACAGGACUGAUGGAAGUAAAAAAAUUGAAUAAGAUGUAAAAGUAUGUUUAAUUACUGUUGAAAAUGGUAUGUUAAAAAACUCAUAAAAAUGUAU
This is a long non-coding RNA of Podarcis raffonei (Aeolian wall lizard), 424 nucleotides long. RefSeq lists it as uncharacterized. The record is from RefSeq and is a predicted model, not a curated record. The transcript has 2 exons. Lineage: Eukaryota; Metazoa; Chordata; Lepidosauria; Squamata; Lacertidae.